Molecule: ribosomal RNA, 244 nt
Filed under: uncultured Actinomycetales bacterium
Lineage: Bacteria; Bacillati; Actinomycetota; Actinomycetes; Actinomycetales
Description: partial 16S ribosomal RNA
Rfam family: Bacterial small subunit ribosomal RNA
Source: RNAcentral
GCUCGAGUGGCGAACGGGUGAGUAACACGUGAGUAACCUGCCCUUGACUUUGGGAUAACUUCAGGAAACUGGGGCUAAUACCGGAUAGGAGCUCCUGCUGCAUGGUGGGGGUUGGAAAGUUUCGGCGGUUAGGGAUGGACUCGCGGCUUAUCAGCUUGUUGGUGGGGUAGUGGCUUACCAAGGCUUUGACGGGUAGCCGGCCUGAGAGGGUGACCGGCCACAUUGGGACUGAGAUACGGCCCAG